This is a small nucleolar RNA of Triplophysa rosa, 71 nucleotides long. The record is from RefSeq and is a predicted model, not a curated record. NCBI's taxonomy places the organism in Eukaryota, Metazoa, Chordata, Actinopteri, Cypriniformes, Nemacheilidae.
GAUGCAAAUGAUGCCAAUAUCGCGAUCAAAGCAUGAUAUAUGUGAUUUCAACUUUUAAACACUGAUGCAUC